Long non-coding RNA from Perca fluviatilis (European perch), 888 nucleotides. RefSeq lists it as uncharacterized. The record is from RefSeq and is a predicted model, not a curated record. Lineage: Eukaryota; Metazoa; Chordata; Actinopteri; Perciformes; Percidae. The transcript has 3 exons.
UACUGAUAUACUGUAUCAACUGUUCUCUUCUCUCUCUGCCUCCUCUACAUCACAGACCAACAACACAGACAGUGUCCGUAGUCACCUCGUCACCGAGCUUCAGGAACUUCAGAUCCAUUUCUCUGGACCUCUUCCUGGGUUGACCAGGACUUUAAAAACACAGAACCUUUCUGAUCACAUCAGAUCACAGUGUGAUUUAAAGUCAGCUUCUUCAUCACUCUGAAGAGGAGAUCUCAACACUUCAGGAGGACCAGGAGGACCAGGAGACCAGGAGAAGACGAUGGGGGGUUCAGGGUCAACACCCAUCUCUGCUCAAAUUUCUGAAUCAAUAAACACACUUAAAAAACAUUCAGCUUCAUUCAUCAAAGAGUUUCACAGCAGUAAAGACAGGAUGAGAAAGAUCGCAGGAGAGUUAAGGGAGAUCACUGAUGAAGACAGAAAGAUUAAUAGAAUAGAUGAAGAAGAAGAGCAGAAAAAGGGGAGAGAGUUCAUGACGAUCAUUGAACCGCUGAAGAAGGACCUGGAAGAAAUCAGGAGGACGUGUGAGAUGUUGAAGAACAGAUCAGCUGAAGGUCAGGCUAGAAUCACUCUGAGAGACAGGGAGGGCUUUGGGAUGAGUCUGACACAAGCUGCCAUAGAUAGAAGAGAAAUCAUCAUUCUGCCUCUUCUGUGUAGCAGGGUGGUGGAUGACUGUGAAAAGAUGAAGAAAGAACUCAAAGACUUAAAAAAGAAAAAGAAAAGAAAAAAGAAAAGAUAGAAGCUGCAGUGUGGAGAAAAGGUCUUAUUUGUUCAUAAUGUCUCACUAAAUCUGCAGUUUGAGACACAGAACUUAAAAUUUGGGACACAAAUAUUCCUCUGUGUGUGUGUGUGUGUGUGUGUGUGUCUGUG